UGGGGAAUAUUGCACAAUGGGCGCAAGCCUGAUGCAGCCAUGCCGCGUGUAUGAAGAAGGCCUUCGGGUUGUAAAGUACUUUCAGCGAGGAGGAAGGCGUUGUGGUUAAUAACCGCAGCGAUUGACGUUACUCGCAGAAGAAGCACCGGCUAACUCCGUGCCAGCAGCCGCGGUAAUACGGAGGGUGCAAGCGAUAAUCGGAAUUACUGGGUGUAAAGCGCACGCAGGCGGUCUGUCAAGUCGGAUGUGAAAUCCCCGGGCUCAACCUGGGAACUGCAUCCGAAACUGGCAGGCUAGAGUCUUGUAGAGGGGGGUAGAAUUCCAGGUGUAGCGGUGAAAUGCGUAGAGAUCUGGAGGAAUACCGGUGGCGAAGGCGGCCCCCUGGACAAAGACUGACGCUCAGGUGCGAAAGCGUGGGGAGCAAACA
This 427-nucleotide ribosomal RNA is filed under the name uncultured bacterium. RNAcentral's name for it is "partial 16S ribosomal RNA". It matches the Rfam family "Bacterial small subunit ribosomal RNA", at positions 355 to 774 of the family's 1533-position model. The record is from RNAcentral.